UACAGAGGUCUCAAGCGUUGUUCGGAUUCAUUGGGCGUAAAGGGUGCGUAGGCGGCCAACUAAGUCAGACGUGAAAUCCCCAGGCUCAACCUGGGAACUGCGUCUGAUACUGGAUGGCUUGAAUCCGGGAGAGGGAUGCAGAAUUCCAGGUGUAGCGGUGAAAUGCGUAGAUAUCUGGAGGAAUACCGGUGGCGAAGGCGGCAUCCUGGACCGGCAUUGACGCUGAGGAGCGAAAGCCAGGGGAGCAAACGGG
This 253-nucleotide ribosomal RNA is filed under the name uncultured bacterium. RNAcentral's name for it is "partial 16S ribosomal RNA". It matches the Rfam family "Bacterial small subunit ribosomal RNA", at positions 524 to 776 of the family's 1533-position model. The record is from RNAcentral.